AUCCUAGGUAUUUUGUUCAGCAUUGAGGAUAUUAAAAAAAAAAAGAAAGAAAAACAGUCCCAGUCUUCAAGGAUUUCAUAGUCUAAUGCAGAGAGACAAUAUAUACCACCAAGAUGCAUACAGGCUACACUGGAGAAAAUCUCAGAGGGAAGACACCAACAUUAAGAUGGCCCAGGAAAGGCUUUUUGCAGAAGAUAAUUCUAGUAAGCUCAUCUCUUAAUGACCGGGACCAAAGCCUUUUCCUGAGCACUGAUGAGGGGGCCACCUUUCAGAAACAACUCAUCACAUUCUUUGUUGAAACUCUGAUUUUCCAUCCCAAAGAAGAGGAUAAAGUGGUUGCCUACACUAAGGAGAGCAAGGUUUACUUAUCGACUGACUUAGGAAAGAAAUGGACCCUUCUUCAAGAACGAGUGACUAAGGACCAUGUUUUCUGGGCUGUAGCUGGAGUAGAUGGAGUAUCAGAUUUGGUUCAUAUGGAAACCCAGGAUCUCACUGGAGGUUUCCGGUAUGUCACCUGUCAGUCUCAGAAUUGCUCUGAUAGAACACCCACGAUUCCAUUUGCCAGCAGCAUUGACCACAAUUCCCUGACUGUGCAGGACGACUACAUAUUCUUUAAGGCGACCACAGCAAAUCGGACUAAAUACUAUGUAUCAUAUCGACGCAAUGAAUUUGUCCUGAUGAAACUACCAAAAUAUGCACUACCAAAGGACUUGCAGAUUAUCAGCACUGAUGAAAAUGAGGUAUUUGUGGCUGUCCAAGAAUGGUACCAAAUGGACACGUACAACCUUUACCAGUCAGACCCACAGGGCGUGUACUAUUCAAUUGUGCUUGAGAACGUUAGGAGCACGAAGCAACCAGAAGAAAACGUCCUGAUCGAUAUCCUGGAGGUCAGAGGUGUCAAAGGAGUCUUCCUGGCCAACCAAAAGAUUGAUGGAAAGGUCACAACACUGAUAACCUACAACAAAGGCCGUGACUGGGAUUAUCUGACGCCACCUGCCACUGACAUGAAUGGCAAACCCACCAACUGCAAACCUCCUGACUGCCAUCUUCACCUUCAUCUCCGAUGGGCAGACAAUCCAUACGUGUCAGGCACUGUCCAUACCAAGGACACAGCACCUGGUCUGAUCAUGGGAGCAGGUAACCUGGGCUCUCAGCUGGUGGAAUACAAAGAGGAAAUGUACAUCACAUCUGACUGUGGAAAUACUUGGCGUCAGGUCUUCGAAGAGGAACAUCACAUUCUGUACCUGGAUCAUGGUGGAGUGAUUGUGGCUAUCAAAGACACAUCCAUCCCUUUGAAAAUACUCAAGUUCAGCAUUGAUGAAGGUCACACCUGGAGCACACAUAAUUUCACAAGCACCUCAGUCUUCGUGGAUGGACUGCUAAGUGAGCCCGGGGAUGAGACUCUGGUCAUGACGGUCUUUGGUCACAUAAGUUUCCGUUCAGAUUGGGAACUGGUGAAGGUGGACUUCAGACCCUCUUUUCCCAGGCAGUGUACUGAGGAUGAUUAUGACUACUGGAACCUCACCAACUUACAGGGUAAUCGCUGUAUCAUGGGACAACAGAGGAGUUUCCGGAAAAGGAAGACCACAUCAUGGUGUAUCAAGGGGCAAAGCUUCACAUCAGUACUCACAUCUAGUGUGUGCAAAUGUUCAAGCUCAGAUUUUUUUUGUGAUUAUGGAUUUGAAAGAUCAGCAACUUCAAAAUCAGAAGCCAAAAAGUGUUUUGCGAAUUUCUGGUUUAAUCCUGACUCACCUCCUGAAGAUUGUGUGUUGGGGCAGGCAUAUACUAGCAGCCCAGGGUACCGGAAAGUGGUAUCUAAUGUCUGUGAAGGUGGUGUGGACCUGCAGCGGUACGUGCUUCAGCAUCAGUGCCCCCUGACAGCCCCCAGAGGGCUGCAAGUCAGCAUCAAAGGAGAGACUGUGGCCGUGAAGCCAGGAGAAGACAUCACGUUUGUGGUCAGACAGGAGCAGGGUGAUGUUCUAAAUACAAAGUACCUGGUGGAUCUUGGCGAUGGCUUUAAGGCUGUCUAUGUGAACCUCACUGUGACAGGGGAACCUAUCCGACACCGCUAUGAGAAUCCAGGAAUCUACCGGGUCUAUGUCAAAGCAGAAAAUGCUGCUGGGCAUGAGGAAGCUGUGCUGUUUGUUCAAGUGAAUUCUCCUCUACGGGCGCUACACCUGGAAGUAGUUCCUGUUAUUGGAGUAAACCAGGAAGUCAACCUCACUGCCAUUCUGCUGCCCAAGAACCCCAAUCUAACUGUCUUCUACUGGUGGAUAGGAAAUAACUUGCAGCCCCUUCUCUCUUUGGAUAAUUUUCUUGUCACGCGAUUUUCAGAAAUGGGUGAAGUCCGAGUAACAGUGCAAGCCUCCUGUGGGAAUUCCAUGCUCCAAGACUCCAAAGUCAUCAGGGUUUUAGAUCAAUUUCAAGUCCUGCCUCUGAAGUUUACUAAGCACUUGGAUAUAUACAAUCCCAACAUCCCUGAAUGGCGAGAAGACAUUGGCCUGGUCGUCACCCGCCUCCUUUCUGAGGAAACCAAUAUCCCUGAGGAAUCUCUGCUGACUGUGGUGAAACCAGGCCUGCCCACAACUGCUGACUUGCAUGUGCUCCUGCCAGCACCUAAACCAAAGAGGAAGAGGAGCAUACCAAGUGACAAGAGGAUCAUGGCCAUCAAACAAGCUUUGAAUGCCCACAAUAUCAGCUUUUUCCUAAGAGGAGGCUUCUGGGUACUUGUAACUCUACGUGACACAGAUUCAGAUUCUCAAAGGAUUGGAGGAGGAGGUGGCUAUUGGGCCCUCAUCGUUCUUUUCCUUAUCUGUCUUUUUGCAGUGGGAGCUUUCAUCCUCUACAAAUUUAAAAGGAAACUACCAGGCAGAACUGUUUAUGCCCAGAUGCACAAUGAAAAGGAACAGGAGAUGACCAGCCCAGUCAACCACAGCGAGGACACACAGAACAUCAUCCAGGGUAAUCACUCAGGCGUGGUUCUGAGCAUCAACUCCCGAGAGAUGCACAGCUACCUGGUUAGCUGAUGUUUGCAGCUGGGCACAAACAUGGAAGACUCUUCCCCAUCUUGUUUUGUCCCCCACCCCCACCCCAUCUCCACUCUGGGGAGGUCCCAGGAUGGCAAGUGUGGCUAUAACUGAUGUUGCAAAGGGAAUUCCCUGAAAAAGACACCCAGAACAGUGGUCAUUGCCCGAUGGUCCCCAUUUGAAGCAGAGGACACAUCUCACCUGAUAUUCCCUGGAUGGACUUCGAGCCUGGACCAACUCAAACUCAAACUAUCAGAGCAGAAAUACAGCCCAAGGCACUCCCCAGCCUCCCUUCUCCUUGUGUCCAUUCCCCUCCACUGACAUUUAUGUCUUUGUUCUGACAUCUUUUAUGCCUCAUGACCCUUUUCAUUGGCGGGUAGUCUCGAAGACCUGAUUGGAAAUGCCUAGCAGCAGAAAAAAGGACCAGAAGGGGGCCUUGCUAAGAGUAGUGAACCCCCUCUUCCCCCUGCUAGUUUGUCAUUCAGAGUCCCUAAGGAAAGAACAUUCCUGAGUCCUCCUGCUCCCCAGGGGAACACACCCACCUUGGCUAGCUGCUUCUUCCUCAACUUGAUCCAGAAGUGGUGAACUUCCCUAAACUACUGGGAUUUCUUGUUCUUAAAAAGGGAAAUAAACCCCAGUAGAAAUCCUAACA
This is a long non-coding RNA of Monodelphis domestica (gray short-tailed opossum), 3678 nucleotides long. The record is from Ensembl. Lineage: Eukaryota; Metazoa; Chordata; Mammalia; Didelphimorphia; Didelphidae.